This 1278-nucleotide ribosomal RNA is filed under the name Salmonella enterica subsp. enterica. Its description in RNAcentral is "partial 23S ribosomal RNA". It matches the Rfam family "Bacterial large subunit ribosomal RNA", at positions 711 to 1885 of the family's 2925-position model. Lineage: Bacteria; Pseudomonadati; Pseudomonadota; Gammaproteobacteria; Enterobacterales; Enterobacteriaceae. The record is from RNAcentral.
AGACCCGAAACCCGGUGAUCUAGCCAUGGGCAGGUUGAAGGUUGGGUAACACUAACUGGAGGACCGAACCGACUAAUGUUGAAAAAUUAGCGGAUGACCUGUGGCUGGGGGUGAAAGGCCAAUCAAACCGGGAGAUAGCUGGUUCUCCCCGAAAGCUAUUUAGGUAGCGCCUCGUGAAUUCAUCUCCGGGGGUAGAGCACUGUUUCGGCUAGGGGGCCAUCCCGGCUUACCAACCCGAUGCAAACUGCGAAUACCGGAGAAUGUUAUCACGGGAGACACACGGCGGGUGCUAACGUCCGUCGUGAAGAGGGAAACAACCCAGACCGCCAGCUAAGGUCCCAAAGUCAUGGUUAAGUGGGAAACGAUGUGGGAAGGCCCAGACAGCCAGGAUGUUGGCUUAGAAGCAGCCAUCAUUUAAAGAAAGCGUAAUAGCUCACUGGUCGAGUCGGCCUGCGCGGAAGAUGUAACGGGGCUAAACCAUGCACCGAAGCUGCGGCAGCGAACGUAUCACCCAAGACAACUUUACGGAGUUGACGAUUGACGGAGCGAAGCGACGUCAAAGCGUUCAUUAAAGUCGAGUUGGCUUAGGGAUACGUUCGUUGGGUAGGGGAGCGUUCUGUAAGCCUGUGAAGGUGUGUCGUGAGGCAUGCUGGAGGUAUCAGAAGUGCGAAUGCUGACAUAAGUAACGAUAAAGCGGGUGAAAAGCCCGCUCGCCGGAAGACCAAGGGUUCCUGUCCAACGUUAAUCGGGGCAGGGUGAGUCGACCCCUAAGGCGAGGCCGAAAGGCGUAGUCGAUGGGAAACGGGUUAAUAUUCCCGUACUUGGUGUUACUGCGAAGGGGGGACGGAGAAGGCUAUGUUGGCCGGGCGACGGUUGUCCCGGUUUAAGCGUGUAGGUGUGUGUUCCAGGUAAAUCCGGUUCACUUUAACACUGAGGCGUGACGACGAGGCACUACGGUGCUGAAGCAACAAAUGCCCUGCUUCCAGGAAAAGCCUCUAAGCAUCAGGUAACAUCAAAUCGUACCCCAAACCGACACAGGUGGUCAGGUAGAGAAUACCAAGGCGCUUGAGAGAACUCGGGUGAAGGAACUAGGCAAAAUGGUGCCGUAACUUCGGGAGAAGGCACGCUGACACGUAGGUGAAGUGAUUUACUCAUGGAGCUGAAGUCAGUCGAAGAUACCAGCUGGCUGCAACUGUUUAUUAAAAACACAGCACUGUGCAAACACGAAAGUGGACGUAUACGGUGUGACGCCUGCCCGGUGCCGGAAGGUUAAUUGAU